This 73-nucleotide transfer RNA is filed under the name Camelus bactrianus (Bactrian camel). It matches the Rfam family "tRNA". From Rfam's summary of the family: Transfer RNA (tRNA) molecules are approximately 80 nucleotides in length. Their secondary structure includes four short double-helical elements and three loops (D, anti-codon, and T loops). Lineage: Eukaryota; Metazoa; Chordata; Mammalia; Artiodactyla; Camelidae. The record is from Rfam by way of RNAcentral. RNAcentral also lists the same sequence under 1 other name.
AAGGGUAUAGCUCAAGUGGCAGAGCGCAUGCUUAGCAUGCAUGAGGUCCUGGGUUCAAUCCCCAGUACCUUCU